CCGGCGCCAACGCUGGAGCCCCCGGCGCCUACCCUGGAGCCCCAGUCGCCUUCCCUGCAGCCCCGGGAGCCAACGCCGGAGCCCCAGUCGCCUUCGUUGGAGCCCCCGGCGCCUACCCUGGGGCCCCCGGCGCCUAUCCUGGAGCCCCUGGCACCUACCCUAGAGCCCCAGUCAUUCAUCCAGGACCCAGAGCCCCACCCACCUACCCACAAGUUUCUGGAACCCCACCCACCACUCAGCCAGAGUCUGGAGCCCCACCCACUUAUCUGCCAGGUCCUGAAGCACCAAUUACAGAUCAGCCAGUCCCUAUUGAUCCAGUAACUGGUCAGCCAACGUUUGUAGCCCCAGGCAUAGACCAGCCCACUCCUACUGAUCAGCCGAUCCAUGGAACCCCCCCCUACAUCUCUGCCGGGGCUUGGAGCCGCAGGCCAAUAUCCAGCAAGUCCUGUGCCCCCACCCACGUAUCAGCCAGGUCCCUGGCCAUAUCCUAUAGCCCCAGAAACAGUUUCUUCAGCUACCGUAGCCCCAACAGCUGCUCCUGGUGUGAAUCAAAGAUUAUUAUUUCAGCUCGGAGGUGUACCCUCGGGGGCUUCUGUAAUUUCAGGUGCUGAUCAGCCUGGCUUUGUUGCCUCAGGCACCACACCGAGUGAACAACCUGUGCGCCAAGUUGGCGUUCAAACUGUAUUGUCUUCCCAAUCCCAGUCAGUUUUGUGCCACCCUAUCUUCCCUACACGCCACCCCAGCCUCCCUACGCAUUGCCACAGCCUGCCUUGGGGCCACAACCACCGUGGUCGAGCACAUCGUUUAUGUACUCUCUACAUCCAUACCAGCAACAUCGAACACCGAGCCAAAAAAGCAAAGAAGGAGAGGGUUUCAGCUUCCCCUUUGCCUUAGAGACCCUGCGUUUGAUGGGGGAGCUUACCAACUACUACCUGAUUCUGAAGGAGCAGAUGGGGGCACUGGAUGAAGAUGCUGGCCACUCAGAGCUGGAGAAGUUACAAUUCCUGAUAGGGAAAUUAACCAAUAAGACCAUCCCUGAUGACAUGCUGGAACAGCUGCGUGGUCUUAAAGCCUUAACCAAAGAAAUUCAAGAGGAGAGGGAAAAAAUGAAGUUAAUGCAGCGAAUCCUGGAAGGAGAAGAGGAAGAGGCUGAAGAGGAGAGAGAAAGGUCUGGCCAUCUGAGUCUGCAGCUAAAUAUUCUCAGAUCGAAUGUGAAUGACAUAGAGAAGGAGCUGGCCCUGCUGAGGGAACGGCAGGAGCAGGGCAAGGCCAUCGUGGAACAGUCAGUGACUGAAGCCACACUUUAUCUACAGGAACAGUUAGAUAAGCUCAGGUUGAUCAUAGAAAGCAUGCUUACCUCAUCGUCCACCCUGCUGUCCAUGAGCAUGGCACCGCCUAAGACGCCAGCACCCUUGAACCCAGACAAAAUUGACCCAAACGCUACCUGUCCAGCUUGUAGCCUAGACCUAAGCCAGCAAGUCAGCAGGCUAGUACAGCGUUAUGAGCAGCUCCAGGAUAUGGUCAACAAUCUGAUGAUAUCUCGGCCCUCGAAGAAGUAUCAGCUCCAGAAUCAGGAUGAAGAGCUACUAGGUCAUAUCCAGGCCACUAUCCUUCAGGUGCAAGGUGACUGUGAGAAACUUAACAUCACCACAGGCAAUCUCAUUGAGGACCACAGGCAAAAGCAGAAAGACAUUGAGGUCCUGUACCAGUCCCUAGAGAAGCUAGAAAAGGAGAAAGCCAACAGGGAACACUUGGAGAUGGAGAUUGAUGUGAAAGCGGAUAAGACUGCCCUCGCUGCCAAAGUAAGCCGAAUCCAGUUUGAUGCCACCACAGAGCAGCUGAACCAAAUGAUGCAGGAUCUGCUGACAAAGAUGACUGGACAGGAGAAGGACUGGAAGAAGAUCUUGGACAAGCUCUUGGUAGAAAUGGAUACCAAGCUGGAUCGCCUAGAGUUAGAUCCCGUGAAGAAGAUGCUGGAGGAAAGGUGGAAGGCCUUACGACAGCAGCUGAAGAAUCAAUCCCCUCUCUAUCAGGCUGAUGAAGCUGCCAUCAUGCGGAGGCAGGUUUUGGCACAUUUCCAUUGUCUCUCAUGCAACCGGCCCUUGGAAACAGCUAUAUCUGGACAGAUCAUUCCCUCAGUGCCUAGUGGCCCAGGACUGCCAGCACAUCGUUCUAACCGUCCAUACACCAUCUACGAAUUGGAGCAAGUCCGACAGCAAAGCCGCAACAUGAGGUUGGGCACUGCCUUCCAACGUUCGGAGCUGGGACAGCUGGAGCGGAGCGUGGGCCGCCUACAUUCCAUGCACUCCAAAAUGCUGAUGGACAUAGAGAAGGUGCAGAUUCAUUUUGGAGGCUCAGUCAAGGCCAGCAGCCAGAUGAUCAGGGAGCUGAUCCAGGCCCAGUGCCUUGGUUCCUCUUACUACAAACGGCUUCAAGAUAUGCCAGACUACUCCUACAUGUCAGUGUCACGUCGCUGUGGUGGUAGCCAUACACUCACCUUCCCCUACCGCCGCUACGGCCGCUUACAGCACUUGGCUCACUGUAUCUACCCUGCAGAAGAUAUACAGGCCUCCUUGAAGCAUGAGGUGGACAUCUUGGGCCUGGAUGGACAUAUUUACAAGGGACGGUUGGAGACAAGGCUUCCUGUAAUCCCAACCAAGGAAAGUCCUAUGAAGAACAAACCAAAGAAUCUCGGUUCUGCUGGGCAAAACAGGCAAUCCCCUUCAAGACCGCAGAGCGCUCAGAUGACGGCGGCUUCUGUGACAUCCCUGCAAACGAAGGGCAGACCUGUCUCCUCACAAGGGCGCCUUACACAGCUUAAUGCCACACAUCCACCAAGUCCCACAACUGCUAACCCCAGUAACAACCCCUAAGAGAUUAGAGGAUGUUUACUGAGGUGCAUGCUGAUCUCCUCUACUCCACUCUGGGUGAAGACCAGGCAAGGAUACCCUGGGCCUCAGGAAACAUACCUUCAUGCAUAGAACUUGCCAAUAAAUGUUUGCAAAGAAGAUGCUGAAGUGGUCCCUGAACUAAGCAUUAAGAGAAGACAAGGACUGGAGAAGCAGAUGUGAAUUCCAGCCACAAAGACAUGCUAGACAGACGCGUGGUAGGAGACAGGGUGUACACUCCAGGAAACUGCUGGUAGUUCAGUCUGGUUAACACAGAGUUUGUGAAAGACAGUUAGAAGCCAGCUUUCAAAGAUUUUCAC
This is a non-coding RNA of Phascolarctos cinereus (koala), 3208 nucleotides long. NCBI's taxonomy places the organism in Eukaryota, Metazoa, Chordata, Mammalia, Diprotodontia, Phascolarctidae. The record is from RefSeq and is a predicted model, not a curated record.